GAUGAACGCUAGCGGCAGGCUUAAUACAUGCAAGUCGUGGGGCAAGCGUUGGUAGCAAUACCGGCGCCUAGACCGGCAAACGGGUGAGGAACACGUACACAACCUCCCUUCGAGUGGAGAAUAACCCGGGGAAACCUGGACUAAUACUCCGUAACAUGUUGAAAAGGCAUCUUUUUAAUAUUAUAGCAGCAAUGCGCUUGAAGACGGGUGUGCGUAUGAUUAGGUAGUUGGCGGGGUAACGGCCCACCAAGCCUACGAUCAUUAACUGGUGUGAGAGCACGAUCAGUCACACGGGCACUGAGACACGGGCCCGACUCCUACGGGAGGCAGCAGUAAGGAAUAUUGGUCAAUGGACGAAAGUCUGAACCAGCCAUGCCGCGUGGAGGAUGAAGGUCCUCUGGAUUGUAAACUUCUUUAUAUGGGGCGAAAAAAGGCUUUUCUAAGUCGUCUGACGGUACCAUAUGAAUAAGCACCGGCUAAACUCCGUGCCAGCAGCCGCGGUAAU
This 505-nucleotide ribosomal RNA is filed under the name uncultured bacterium. RNAcentral's name for it is "bacterial SSU rRNA". It matches the Rfam family "Bacterial small subunit ribosomal RNA", at positions 28 to 524 of the family's 1533-position model. The record is from RNAcentral.